This 589-nucleotide ribosomal RNA is filed under the name uncultured bacterium. RNAcentral describes it as "bacterial SSU rRNA". It matches the Rfam family "Bacterial small subunit ribosomal RNA", at positions 338 to 917 of the family's 1533-position model. The record is from RNAcentral.
CCUACGGGAGGCAGCAGUAGGGAAUCUUCCGCAAUGGACGAAAGUCUGACGGAGCAACGCCGCGUGAGUGAUGAAGGCUUUCGGGUCGUAAAACUCUGUUGUUAGGGAAGAACAAGUGCUAGUUGAAUAAGCUGGCACCUUGACGGUACCUAACCAGAAAGCCACGGCUAACUACGUGCCAGCAGCCGCGGUAAUACGUAGGUGGCAAGCGUUAUCUGGAAUUAUUGGGCGUAAAGCGCGCGCAGGUGGUUUCUUAAGUCUGAUGUGAAAGCCCACGGCUCAACCGUGGAGGGUCAUUGGAAACUGGGAGACUUGAGUGCAGAAGAGGAAAGUGGAAUUCCAUGUGUAGCGGUGAAAUGCGUAGAGAUAUGGAGGAACACCAGUGGCGAAGGCGACUUUCUGGUCUGUAACUGACACUGAGGCGCGAAAGCGUGGGGAGCAAACAGGAUUAGAUACCCUGGUAGUCCACGCCGUAAACGAUGAGUGCUAAGUGUUAGAGGGUUUCCGCCCUUUAGUGCUGAAGUUAACGCAUUAAGCACUCCGCCUGGGGAGUACGGCCGCAAGGCUGAAACUCAAAUGAAUUGACGGA